GACGAACGCUGGCGGCGUGCUUAACACAUGCAAGUCGAACGGUAAGGCCCUUCGGGGUACACGAGUGGCGAACGGGUGAGUAACACGUGGGUGAUCUGCCCUGCACUUCGGGAUAAGCCUGGGAAACUGGGCCUAAUACCGGAUAGGACCACUGCCUGCAUGGGUGGUGGUGGAAAGCUUUUGCGGUGUGGGAUGGGCCCGCGGCCUAUCAGCUUGUUGGUGGGGUGAUGGCCUUCCAAGGCGACGACGGGUAGCUGGCCUGAGAGGGUGACCGGCCACACUGGGACUGAGAUACGGCCCAGACUCCUACGGGAGGCAGCAGUGGGGAAUAUUGCACAAUGGGCGCAAGCCUGAUGCAGCGACGCCGCGUGAGGGAUGUCGGCCUUCGGGUUGUAAACCUCUUUCAGCACCGACGAAGCGCAAGUGACGGUAGGUGCAGAAGAAGGACCGGCCAACUACGUGCCAGCCGCCGCAGUAA
Molecule: ribosomal RNA, 478 nt
Filed under: uncultured bacterium
Lineage: Bacteria
Description: partial 16S ribosomal RNA
Rfam family: Bacterial small subunit ribosomal RNA
Source: RNAcentral